RNAcentral lists this transfer RNA (76 nucleotides) under Deltaproteobacteria bacterium. Its description in RNAcentral is "tRNA-Lys". It matches the Rfam family "tRNA". From Rfam's summary of the family: Transfer RNA (tRNA) molecules are approximately 80 nucleotides in length. Their secondary structure includes four short double-helical elements and three loops (D, anti-codon, and T loops). Lineage: Bacteria; Pseudomonadati; Myxococcota; Myxococcia. The record is from RNAcentral.
GAGCCGUUAGCUCAGUGCAGAGCAGCUGGUUCUUAACCAGCGGGUCCCUUGGUUCAACUCCAAGGACGGCUCACCA